Tissierellia bacterium KA00581 is the source of this 71-nucleotide transfer RNA. It matches the Rfam family "tRNA". Rfam says of the family: Transfer RNA (tRNA) molecules are approximately 80 nucleotides in length. Their secondary structure includes four short double-helical elements and three loops (D, anti-codon, and T loops). Further hydrogen bonds mediate the characteristic L-shaped molecular structure. tRNAs have two regions of fundamental functional importance: the anti-codon, which is responsible for specific mRNA codon recognition, and the 3' end, to which the tRNAs corresponding amino acid is attached (by aminoacyl-tRNA synthetases). tRNAs cope with the degeneracy of the genetic code in two manners: having more than one tRNA (with a specific anti-codon) for a particular amino acid; and 'wobble' base-pairing, i.e. permitting non-standard base-pairing at the 3rd anti-codon position. NCBI's taxonomy places the organism in Bacteria, Bacillati, Bacillota, Tissierellia. The record is from Rfam.
AGGGGUAUAGUUUAAAGGUAGAAUGUCGGUCUCCAAAACCGCUGGUGAGGGUUCGAUUCCUUCUACCCCUG